UACGGAGGGGGCUAGCGUUGUUCGGAAUUACUGGGCGUAAAGCGCACGUAGGCGGCUUUGUAAGUUAGAGGUGAAAGCCCGGGGCUCAACUCCGGAAUUGCCUUUAAGACUGCAUCGCUAGAAUUGUGGAGAGGUAAGUGGAAUUCCGAGUGUAGAGGUGAAAUUCGUAGAUAUUCGGAAGAACACCAGUGGCGAAGGCGACUUACUGGACACAUAUUGACGCUGAGGUGUGAAAGCGUAGGGAGCAAACAGG
This 253-nucleotide ribosomal RNA is filed under the name uncultured bacterium. RNAcentral's name for it is "partial 16S ribosomal RNA". It matches the Rfam family "Bacterial small subunit ribosomal RNA", at positions 524 to 776 of the family's 1533-position model. The record is from RNAcentral.